AAGGCCUUAGUUUAACAAAAACAUCUGAUUUGCAUUUAGACGAUGCAAGAUAAAGUCUUGUAGGUCUU
RNAcentral lists this transfer RNA (68 nucleotides) under Phenacobius mirabilis. Its description in RNAcentral is "tRNA-Ala". It matches the Rfam family "tRNA". From Rfam's summary of the family: Transfer RNA (tRNA) molecules are approximately 80 nucleotides in length. Their secondary structure includes four short double-helical elements and three loops (D, anti-codon, and T loops). The record is from RNAcentral. Lineage: Eukaryota; Metazoa; Chordata; Actinopteri; Cypriniformes; Leuciscidae.